AGAAUAAGAAAAUUUUAGUAUUGUACCUUUUGUAUCAGGGGAGUUUAAAAUUAUAAAUAUGGUAUGCUCGAUUAAACUGGUUCUUCUAUUGUUAUUUUUAGUAGAAUUUAAAAAUAAAAAAAAAUAAGUGGUGAAAAAUUUACGGAAGUUUUGGUAUCUAGUUAUUUUUAAAUUUUAAAGGGUAAAGCUUUUAAAAUUUUACGUUAAAAAAAAUUAAAAAAAACUAGGCUUUAGAUUAGCCAAGCUUAUAAAUUGUUUUAAAUAAUUAUUAAAAAAAAUUAAGUGUAAAUUUAUAUUGAAGUAAUUAAACCUUUUUAGUUAGUAGUGAUAAUGAAUUUAUUGAAUAUCAAAUGAAAUUAAAAAAUAACUCGUAGUAAGUUAGAAAGUUUAGCAAAAACAUUUUUCUUUGAUGUAAAAAUAGUAAGGCCUGCCCAGUGAUAAAUUUAACGGCUGCGGUAUUUUGACUGUGCUAAGGUAGCAUAAUCAUUUGUUUCUUAAUUGGUAACUGGAAUGAAAGGUUAAACUAGUUUGUUUAGUUUGUUUAGUUAAAUAAGAAAUUAAAGUCAAGGUAAAAAUUCUUUGAUUUACUAGGGGACGAUAAGACCCUAGAAGCUUAAUAAAAAGAUUAAUUGUUUGUGUUAAAAGUAAAUUUAUUUUACUGGGGCGGUAGUAGUAUAUAAACUGUUAUGUUGUUGGAGGCUCCUUUUAAUAAAGAUAAGACGGUAAAGUUACUCUAGGGAUAACAGUGCAAUAUUUUUGGAGAGAUCUUAUCGAUAAAAGUGUUUGUAACCUCGAUGUUGAAUUAAAAUAUCUAUAUGAAGCAGCAAGCAUAAUAGAGGGUUUGUUCAACC
RNAcentral lists this ribosomal RNA (851 nucleotides) under Gammarus gregoryi. Its description in RNAcentral is "partial 16S ribosomal RNA". The stretch from base 562 to 851 matches the Rfam family "Bacterial large subunit ribosomal RNA", at positions 2046 to 2586 of the family's 2925-position model. The record is from RNAcentral. Lineage: Eukaryota; Metazoa; Arthropoda; Malacostraca; Amphipoda; Gammaridae.